GGAGCAGAGGCUAGAGUUACUAUGCCAUAAUCUAAGGGCUAAGAUCUUGGCAGGCAGGCAUAGGCAACUUUUCCUAAGCAACUGUGGUUCUUUAGUGAGCUGAUGGGACAGGCCCCUCACUUUUGCAUUGGUCUAGUAAACAAAGAAAGGGAAAGGGAGAUACCAAGAUGGGUUUGCCAAAAGGAGCAGCCUUUACUCUCUGCCUAGUGACCCACUCUGCUCUUACUCACUUCCUGUAACUGCUGGAAAAAAGAAGUUGGAAAGAAACUCAGAAAGAGCAGAAAUGGUUUCAUAUUGAGAACACUUCACAGGCUGGACUCAGAAAGCCAUUAGUCUGCCUCACUGGAAUGCACUGCCUCUACCUGAAACCCUUCCAGUUCUCAGGCCUGGAACUCCUGGUACCAUUUGGUGGCACCUUCUAUUCUACAUGAUCUGGGAUCACUUCAACUGUUUCAAGAAGCCCAAAGUUAUGCUAUGAAGACCCCAAGUUCCUCCUGAAAUGCUUAUCAGGCAAGAUCCAGUUGGCCCACUUUUGGUACCCAAGGUCCAAUAUACUCAACUGUUCUUUCAUCCUCCAAAUGGCUACUUGAGAACACACCCAUUUCAGCACUUUCUCUUUCCGCUGGAAAUCUGUAAUAUCUUCUGCAAAUAAAUGACUGCGAGAGAAUAACUCCCCUAAUAAAUCAGAUGACUUUUAAAAAAUGCAGCUUUACUAAGCCUUCUUGAUAAUGCAGUUUCUUGCUAAUACUUUCCCUUUUUUUUUACAAAUGUAAAAUAGAUGUUUUUAUUAACUACUGGUAUUGCUGAAGUAUUAAUAGUUACCAGAUUUGGGGGCAGAGAAAGAUUUUUCUUUUAUUACUCUAGACAACUUGUAGCUUAGGUUUGUAUUUAUGAAACCGUUGUUUCUCUGACUGAGGCUCUUCAGAUCUCUUUUUGAUGGAAAAAAAAACUAGGGUCUGCUUUUGAACAUACAUUAUACAUCUUGGUGAGACAUCUAGGUGCUUCUGUAUUUUUCCGGUAAAAUUUGUGACAACAAGGUAAUAGCCAAAGGCAUGUUGUCAUCCUUAAAGUAGUUCAACUUACUUUUGCAUACAGUAAGAUUCAGGUGGCACAACAGAAAAUCUAAUGCUCUCUGUAGGUAUAUACGAAAAAAAAAGAAAACCUACUGCUCGUGUUAAAAGUAAAGCAAUCAAAUGGUAGAAAAAUUAUCAAAUAAUCUGGUAAAUCUGAGAGCAACUUCUGAUGUAUUAAUAUCUAAUACUGUUAAGGUUUGAUACUGGAUUGAAAAUAUAACUGUAAAAUAAGUUAAAUAAGCUCUUCUGAAUUUAGAAACCAUUUUCCCGGCCGGGUGCAGUGGCUCAUGCCUGUAAUCUCAACACUUUGGGAGUCCGAGGCUGGCGGAUUACCUGAGGUCAGGAGUUCGAGACCAGCCUGGCCAACAUAGUGAAACCUCAUCUCUACUAAAUAUACAAAAAAAUUAGCUGGGCGUGGUGACACACACCUGUAAUCCCAGCUACUCGGGAGGCUGAAGCAAGACAAUUGCUUGAGCCCGGGAGAUGGAGGUUGCAGUGAGCUGAGAUUGCACCACCGCACUCCAGCCUGGCCAACAGAGCAAGACUCUGUCUCAAAAAAA
RNAcentral lists this long non-coding RNA (1633 nucleotides) under Homo sapiens (human). RNAcentral's name for it is "HSALNT0263911". The record is from RNAcentral. Lineage: Eukaryota; Metazoa; Chordata; Mammalia; Primates; Hominidae.